GACGAACGCUGGCGGCGUGCUUAAUACAUGCAAGUCUUAGGGGUUUUCAUCCUUCGGGGUGAAGAUCACUGGCGCACGGGUGAGUAACACGUAAGUCAUCUGCCUCCGGGUCGGGCAUAACACCGGGAAACCGGUGCUAAUUCCCGAUGACACUGCAAAGUCAAAGGCUUCGGUCGCCCGGAGAUGAGCUUGCGUCCGAUUAGCUAGUUGGCGGGGUAAUAGCCCACCAAGGCGACGAUCGGUAGCCGGUCUGAGAGGAUGAUCGGCCACAUUGGGACUGAAACACGGCCCAGACUCCUACGGGAGGCACCAGUAAGGAAUAUUGCGCCAUGGAGGCAACUCUGACGCAGCAACGCCGCGUGUAGGAAGAAGGCCCUUUGGGUCGUAAACUACUGUAGCAGGGGAAUAAUGGCCUACCAUGGGUAGGUUUGAAGGUACCCUGAAAGUAAGCGCCGGCUAACAUACGUGCCAGCAGCCGCGGUAAUAAU
Molecule: ribosomal RNA, 488 nt
Filed under: uncultured bacterium
Lineage: Bacteria
Description: bacterial SSU rRNA
Rfam family: Bacterial small subunit ribosomal RNA
Source: RNAcentral